ACGCUGGCGGCGUGCCUAACACAUGCAAGUCGAGCGGUAACAGGUGUAGCAAUACAUGCUGACGAGCGGCGAACGGGUGAGUAAUGCUUCGGAAUCUGCCCAAUGGUGGGGAAUAACCAGCCGAAAGGUUGGCUAAUACCGCAUAAGUCCUACGGGGGAAAGCAGGGGGUCGCAAGACCUUGCGCCGAUGGAUGAGCCGAAGUCGGAUUAGCUAGUUGGUAGGGUAACGGCCUACCAAGGCGACGAUCCGUAGCUGGUCUGAGAGGACGACCAGCCACACUGGGACUGAGACACGGCCCAGACUCCUACGGGAGGCAGCAGUGGGGAAUAUUGGACAAUGGGGGAAACCCUGAUCCAGCGACGCCGCGUGUGUGACGAAGGCCUGCGGGUUGUAAAGCACUUUUAGUGGGGAUGAAAAGCUCAGGGCUAACACCUCUGGGUCUUGACCUAACCCANAGAAAAAGCACCGGCUAACUCUGUGCCAGCAGCCGCGGUAAUACAGAGGGUGCGAGCGUUAAUCGGAAUUACUGGGCGUAAAGCGUGCGUA
RNAcentral lists this ribosomal RNA (547 nucleotides) under uncultured bacterium. Its description in RNAcentral is "bacterial SSU rRNA". It matches the Rfam family "Bacterial small subunit ribosomal RNA", at positions 33 to 573 of the family's 1533-position model. The record is from RNAcentral.